GACGAAGGAUCCAAGCGUUAUCCGGAUUUAUUGGGUUUAAAGGGUGCGUAGGUGGUCUAUUAAGUCAGUGCUGAAAUAUCCCGGCUUAACCGGGAGGGUGGCAUUGAUACUGAUGGACUUGAGUGGAGUUGAGGUAGGCGGAAUUGACGGUGUAGCGGUGAAAUGCUUAGAUAUCGUCAAGAACACCAAUAGCGAAGGCAGCUUACUAAGCUCUAACUGACACUGAUGCACGAAAGUGUGGGGAUCAAACAGG
RNAcentral lists this ribosomal RNA (253 nucleotides) under uncultured bacterium. RNAcentral describes it as "partial 16S ribosomal RNA". It matches the Rfam family "Bacterial small subunit ribosomal RNA", at positions 524 to 776 of the family's 1533-position model. The record is from RNAcentral.